AGACAUGGGGAGCACGUGCUUCCUUCUGGCACUGAGUACAGAUCUCACUCACCAACUAGCCAAAGGAGUUAGCUGAAGGACCUCCUGGUAGAGGGACUGGGGUUUGCAAAACAUGAAGAGUAGAAAGAACACUACACCAGGAGUCAAGAGCUCCCAUCCUAAUCCCAGCUCUGCCAGCAAGUGACCCGCUGUGCUGCCCCAGGUUGGCUUCAUUCUCCUUUCCUAAAAUCCACCUUCUUCCACUGAACUCCCAGCUCUACCACUAAGACGGACUAUUCUAUAGUUGUAAUUUUAAAAAUUCUCAAGAAAAACUCAUGCCGGUCCAGAUUGGGACCACAUACCGACCCCAGUAGCCAAGGUCC
This 362-nucleotide long non-coding RNA is filed under the name Equus asinus (donkey). RNAcentral's name for it is "lncRNA (ENSEASG00005037152.1, ENSEASG00020001844.1)". Lineage: Eukaryota; Metazoa; Chordata; Mammalia; Perissodactyla; Equidae. The record is from RNAcentral.